Molecule: long non-coding RNA, 325 nt
Filed under: Elaeis guineensis (African oil palm)
Lineage: Eukaryota; Viridiplantae; Streptophyta; Magnoliopsida; Arecales; Arecaceae
Description: long non-coding RNA (EGUI_LNC031717)
Source: RNAcentral
CCAGCCUCAACAUAAAACUGCAUCCUAGUCAAGGCCUUAUCAUCAUACACAUCAAAGUGAGAUAACUUUGUGAAUGCCUCAUUUUCUACUGAAACUCCAGCCACCUCAAAUAGUCUAGUUAGUGCCAUUCCAUAAGGUAAGCAUACUUUGUUCUUUGCUGAUGCCUCUUUCAUCUGGUGCACCAUGAUACCCAGGUAUCCCCUGAACAAUAUGAUACAUAACUGCCAGCUCCUUCUCGGAAACAAAAUCAUGUCUCCCUAGUUUUGGAAUGAAGAUCCCUCCAAUAAUAUGAUGUAAAAUCCUCAUUUCAACUAAGAGGGUGCUG